This 28-nucleotide small RNA is filed under the name Bombyx mori (domestic silkworm). RNAcentral describes it as "ovarian small RNA-18383". The record is from RNAcentral. Lineage: Eukaryota; Metazoa; Arthropoda; Insecta; Lepidoptera; Bombycidae.
UAAAGUACGUGAGGCAUACGCGAUUGGC